AUGGCCUCCAUCCCCUCCAGCGGCUCGCUUGUGGCCAUCCAUGACUACCGGCGCCACCUGGGUUCCACUUCCAGCAACAGCUCCUGCAGCAGUACCCAGUGCCCCACGGAAGCCAUUGCCCACCCCCCGGGUAUCCCCAAGGCUGACCCGGGUCACUGGUGAGCCAGCUUCUUUCUCAGGAAGUCCACCCUCCCGUUCAUGGCCACGGUGCUGGAAUCUAUAGAGCACCUGGAACCCCUCAAGGCCUCCAGCAACAUGACCACCUGUGGCCUGGCUCGCGACACCCCGAGGAAGCAGCCCGGUGGUCAGUCCAGCACAGCCAGUGCUGGGCUCUGGUCCUGACCUGAACGGUUACCACUAGCCCCAGGCCUGCCGAGGCGCUAGGCCACCGGAGCCCCUCCCGCCCCUCUCCCCAUUCC
Non-coding RNA from Saimiri boliviensis boliviensis (Bolivian squirrel monkey), 419 nucleotides. The record is from RefSeq and is a predicted model, not a curated record. NCBI's taxonomy places the organism in Eukaryota, Metazoa, Chordata, Mammalia, Primates, Cebidae.